AUGGGCAGGUAGAUGGUCGCUCCUGCAGCAAUGCAGGGGAGGAAAGUCCGGGCUCCGUAGGGCAGGACAGUGGCUAACAGCCACCGCCAGGCAGCUGGACACAGGUGUCUGGCAGGGAAAGUGCCACAGAAAAGAUACCGCCUGGCACCUAUGGCAUUGGUGUCAGGUAAGGGUGAAAAGGUGGGGUAAGAGCCCACCGCUGGGGUGGCGACAUCCCAGGCAUGGCAAACCCUGUCCGGAGCAAGGCCAAAUAGGUUCCGCCCCGAGGGUGGCCCGCCCGAUUGUGCGGAACGGGUAGGCUGCACGAGCCAGGGAGUAAUCCCUGGCCACAGAUAAAUGACCAUCCACGACAGAACCCGGCUUAUUCCUGCCCAUUAAA
This 379-nucleotide RNase P RNA is filed under the name Nitrospirota bacterium. RNAcentral describes it as "Nitrospirae bacterium (hydrothermal vent metagenome) RNase P RNA component class A". It matches the Rfam family "Bacterial RNase P class A". Rfam says of the family: Ribonuclease P (RNase P) is a ubiquitous endoribonuclease, found in archaea, bacteria and eukarya as well as chloroplasts and mitochondria. Its best characterised activity is the generation of mature 5'-ends of tRNAs by cleaving the 5'-leader elements of precursor-tRNAs. Lineage: Bacteria; Pseudomonadati; Nitrospirota. The record is from RNAcentral.